RNAcentral lists this ribosomal RNA (806 nucleotides) under Bacillus zhangzhouensis. Its description in RNAcentral is "bacterial SSU rRNA". It matches the Rfam family "Bacterial small subunit ribosomal RNA", at positions 62 to 849 of the family's 1533-position model. Lineage: Bacteria; Bacillati; Bacillota; Bacilli; Caryophanales; Bacillaceae. The record is from RNAcentral.
UCGAGCGAACAGAAGGGAGCUUGCUCCCGGAUGUUAGCGGCGGACGGGUGAGUAACACGUGGGUAACCUGCCUGUAAGACUGGGAUAACUCCGGGAAACCGGAGCUAAUACCGGAUAGUUCCUUGAACCGCAUGGUUCAAGGAUGAAAGACGGUUUCGGCUGUCACUUACAGAUGGACCCGCGGCGCAGUAUCUAGUUGGUGGGGUAAUGGCUCACCAAGGCGACGAUGCGUAGCCGACCUGAGAGGGUGAUCGGCCACACUGGAGACUGANACACGGCCCAGACUCCUACGGGAGGCAGCAGUAGGGAAUCUUCCGCAAUGGACGAAAGUCUGACAGAGCAACGCCGCGUGAGUGAUGAAGGUUUUCGGAUCGGACAGCUCUGUUGAUGGGGAAGAACAAGUGCGAGAGUAACUGCUCGCACCUUGACGGUACCUAACCAGAAAGCCACGGCUAACUACGUGCCAGCAGCCGCGGUAAUACGUAGGUGGCAAGCGUUGUCCGGAAUUAUUGGGCGUAAAGGGCUCGCAGGCGGUUUCUUAAGUCUGAUGUGAAAGCCCCCGGCUCAACCGGGGAGGGUCAUUGGAAACUGGGAAACUUGAGUGCAGAAGAGGAGAGUGGAAUUCCACGUGUAGCGGUGAAAUGCGUAGAGAUGUGGAGGAACACCAGUGGCGAAGGCGACUCUCUGGUCUGUAACUGACGCUGAGGAGCGAAAGCGUGGGGAGCGAACAGGAUUAAAUACCCUGGUAGUCCACNCCGUAAACGAUGAGUGCUAAGUGUUAGGGGGUUUCCGCCCCUUAGUGCUGC